RNAcentral lists this ribosomal RNA (294 nucleotides) under uncultured bacterium. Its description in RNAcentral is "partial 16S ribosomal RNA". It matches the Rfam family "Bacterial small subunit ribosomal RNA", at positions 775 to 1067 of the family's 1533-position model. The record is from RNAcentral.
GGAUUAGAUACCCUGGUAGUCCACGCCGUAAACGAUGUCAACUAGCUGUUGGAUCCUUUUGAGGAUUAAGUAGCGAAACUAACGUGUUAAGUUGACCGCCUGGGGAGUAUGGCCGCAAGGUUAAAACUCAAAUGAAUUGACGGGGACCCGCACAAGCGGUGGAGCAUGUGGUUUAAUUCGAUGCAACGCGAAAAACCUUACCUACCCUUGACAUCCUUAGAAGAAACCAGAGAUGGUUUUGUGCCUUCGGGAACUAAGUGACAGGUGCUGCAUGGCUGUCGUCAGCUCGUGCCG